Molecule: ribosomal RNA, 2276 nt
Filed under: Bacillus toyonensis
Lineage: Bacteria; Bacillati; Bacillota; Bacilli; Caryophanales; Bacillaceae
Also listed under: 1 other name
Description: 23S ribosomal RNA
Rfam family: Bacterial large subunit ribosomal RNA
Source: RNAcentral
AGGUUAAGUUGAAGAGACGGAGCCGCAGCGAAAGCGAGUCUGAAUAGGGCGUUUAGUACGUGGUCGUAGACCCGAAACCAGGUGAUCUACCCAUGUCCAGGGUGAAGUUCAGGUAACACUGAAUGGAGGCCCGAACCCACGCACGUUGAAAAGUGCGGGGAUGAGGUGUGGGUAGCGGAGAAAUUCCAAUCGAACCUGGAGAUAGCUGGUUCUCCCCGAAAUAGCUUUAGGGCUAGCCUUAAGUGUAAGAGUCUUGGAGGUAGAGCACUGAUUGAACUAGGGGUCCUCAUCGGAUUACCGAAUUCAGUCAAACUCCGAAUGCCAAUGACUUAUCCUUAGGAGUCAGACUGCGAGUGAUAAGAUCCGUAGUCAAGAGGGAAACAGCCCAGAUCGCCAGCUAAGGUCCCAAAGUGUGUAUUAAGUGGAAAAGGAUGUGGAGUUGCUUAGACAACUAGGAUGUUGGCUUAGAAGCAGCCACCAUUUAAAGAGUGCGUAAUAGCUCACUAGUCGAGUGACUCUGCGCCGAAAAUGUACCGGGACUAAAUACACCACCGAAGCUGCGAAUUGAUACCAAUGGUAUCAGUGGUAGGGGAGCGUUCUAAGUGCAGUGAAGUCAGACCGGAAGGACUGGUGGAGCGCUUAGAAGUGAGAAUGCCGGUAUGAGUAGCGAAAGACGGGUGAGAAUCCCGUCCACCGAAUGCCUAAGGUUUCCUGAGGAAGGCUCGUCCGCUCAGGGUUAGUCAGGACCUAAGCCGAGGCCGACAGGCGUAGGCGAUGGACAACAGGUUGAUAUUCCUGUACCACCUCUUUAUCGUUUGAGCAAUGGAGGGACGCAGAAGGAUAGAAGAAGCGUGCGAUUGGUUGUGCACGUCCAAGCAGUUAGGCUGAUAAGUAGGCAAAUCCGCUUAUCGUGAAGGCUGAGCUGUGAUGGGGAAGCUCCUUAUGGAGCGAAGUCUUUGAUUCCCCGCUGCCAAGAAAAGCUUCUAGCGAGAUAAAAGGUGCCUGUACCGCAAACCGACACAGGUAGGCGAGGAGAGAAUCCUAAGGUGUGCGAGAGAACUCUGGUUAAGGAACUCGGCAAAAUGACCCCGUAACUUCGGGAGAAGGGGUGCUUUCUUAACGGAAAGCCGCAGUGAAUAGGCCCAAGCGACUGUUUAGCAAAAACACAGGUCUCUGCGAAGCCGUAAGGCGAAGUAUAGGGGCUGACACCUGCCCGGUGCUGGAAGGUUAAGGAGAGGGGUUAGCGUAAGCGAAGCUCUGAACUGAAGCCCCAGUAAACGGCGGCCGUAACUAUAACGGUCCUAAGGUAGCGAAAUUCCUUGUCGGGUAAGUUCCGACCCGCACGAAAGGUGUAACGAUUUGGGCACUGUCUCAACCAGAGACUCGGUGAAAUUAUAGUACCUGUGAAGAUGCAGGUUACCCGCGACAGGACGGAAAGACCCCGUGGAGCUUUACUGUAGCCUGAUAUUGAAUUUUGGUACAGUUUGUACAGGAUAGGCGGGAGCCAUUGAAACCGGAGCGCUAGCUUCGGUGGAGGCGCUGGUGGGAUACCGCCCUGACUGUAUUGAAAUUCUAACCUACGGGUCUUAUCGACCCGGGAGACAGUGUCAGGUGGGCAGUUUGACUGGGGCGGUCGCCUCCUAAAGUGUAACGGAGGCGCCCAAAGGUUCCCUCAGAAUGGUUGGAAAUCAUUCGUAGAGUGCAAAGGCAUAAGGGAGCUUGACUGCGAGACCUACAAGUCGAGCAGGGACGAAAGUCGGGCUUAGUGAUCCGGUGGUUCCGCAUGGAAGGGCCAUCGCUCAACGGAUAAAAGCUACCCCGGGGAUAACAGGCUUAUCUCCCCCAAGAGUCCACAUCGACGGGGAGGUUUGGCACCUCGAUGUCGGCUCAUCGCAUCCUGGGGCUGUAGUCGGUCCCAAGGGUUGGGCUGUUCGCCCAUUAAAGCGGUACGCGAGCUGGGUUCAGAACGUCGUGAGACAGUUCGGUCCCUAUCCGUCGUGGGCGUAGGAAAUUUGAGAGGAGCUGUCCUUAGUACGAGAGGACCGGGAUGGACGCACCGCUGGUGUACCAGUUGUUCUGCCAAGGGCAUAGCUGGGUAGCUAUGUGCGGAAGGGAUAAGUGCUGAAAGCAUCUAAGCAUGAAGCCCCCCUCAAGAUGAGAUUUCCCAUAGCGUAAGCUAGUAAGAUCCCUGAAAGAUGAUCAGGUUGAUAGGUUCGAGGUGGAAGCAUGGUGACAUGUGGAGCUGACGAAUACUAAUAGAUCGAGGACUUAACCAU